RNAcentral lists this long non-coding RNA (377 nucleotides) under Ananas comosus (pineapple). Its description in RNAcentral is "long non-coding RNA (ACOM_LNC035488)". Lineage: Eukaryota; Viridiplantae; Streptophyta; Magnoliopsida; Poales; Bromeliaceae. The record is from RNAcentral.
UGUACCGAACUGCAAUCUUUAUCAGAUAGCUUUCGGAUUCGAUUUCUCUCUCUACGGGUGUCAGAAAAAUAUGAAACUUUAAAUCUAGCCUCAUAAAAAUAUUUCUGACAUCUCCGCCAAUUUUCAUAAUUUUCUGACACUGUGCAUUUUCUGCUAAUUUAUCUGCCCCGUUUCUUACAGAAAAUUCUAAAUCAUCUGUUUUCGCUCUGAUUUCAACACAGGUCAUUCCCAACUUAUAUUUCACUUCUCUAAAUCCAAUAAAAAUAGUAUCUCAUACUAUUUUUAUUUAUUUUUAUUUUUAUAUUUAAAAUCCGAUAUGUUACAUUCCACCGCAACCUCACCGGUACCUUUACACCCGGGACCGUCUGCGGACCUCC